Ipomoea nil (Japanese morning glory) is the source of this 111-nucleotide long non-coding RNA. RefSeq lists it as uncharacterized. The transcript is spliced from 3 exons. Lineage: Eukaryota; Viridiplantae; Streptophyta; Magnoliopsida; Solanales; Convolvulaceae. The record is from RefSeq and is a predicted model, not a curated record.
UUUGAGAGGUUGCUCUCACACUGUCGCUGGUGAGACUCAAUCCCUGGUCAUUCUUCCAAAGUUUCACCUCUGUGACUAGUUGAGCUGUCCAUGCGGGGGCAAUUUCUAACU